This 408-nucleotide ribosomal RNA is filed under the name uncultured bacterium. RNAcentral's name for it is "partial 16S ribosomal RNA". It matches the Rfam family "Bacterial small subunit ribosomal RNA", at positions 28 to 526 of the family's 1533-position model. The record is from RNAcentral.
GACGAACGCUGGCGGCGUGCUUAACACAUGCAAGUCGAACGAAGUGGCGAACGGGUGAGUAACGCGUAAUCAACCUGCCCUUCAGAGGGGGACAACAGUUGGAAACGACUGCUAAUACCGCAUACUGAAGGAGGGGAUUGCGUCUGAUUAGCUAGUUGGAGGGGUAACGGCCCACCAAGGCGAUGAUCAGUAGCCGGUCCUGGAGGGUGAACGGCCAAAUUGGGACUUGACAACGGCCCAGAACCCCACGGGGGGGAGCAGUGGGGAAUCUUCCGCAAUGGACGAAAGUCUGACGGAGCAACGCCGCGGGAGUGAUGACGGCCUUCGGGUUGUAAAGCUCUGUUAAUCGGGACGCGGUACCGGAAUAGAAAGCCACGGCUAACUACGUGCCAGCAGCCGCGGUAAUAC